UACGAAGGGGGGCUAGCGUUGUUCGGAAUUACUGGGCGUAAAGCGUGCGCAGGCGGCUUCUCAAGUCAGGGGUGAAAGCCCAGAGCUCAACUCUGGAAUUGCCUUUGAGACUGAGUGGCUUGAGUACGAGAGAGGUGAGUGGAAUUCCCAGUGUAGAGGUGAAAUUCGUAGAUAUUGGGGAAGAACACCGGUGGCGAAGGGCGGGCUCACUGGCUCGUAACUGACGCUCAUGCACGACAGCGUGGGGAUCAAACAGGAUAGAUACCCGUGGUAAGCUCCAUGACCCAAGUCCUACGUGCUACCGGUAAC
Molecule: ribosomal RNA, 309 nt
Filed under: uncultured bacterium
Lineage: Bacteria
Description: partial 16S ribosomal RNA
Rfam family: Bacterial small subunit ribosomal RNA
Source: RNAcentral